This 2927-nucleotide ribosomal RNA is filed under the name Citrobacter freundii. Its description in RNAcentral is "23S ribosomal RNA". It matches the Rfam family "Bacterial large subunit ribosomal RNA". Lineage: Bacteria; Pseudomonadati; Pseudomonadota; Gammaproteobacteria; Enterobacterales; Enterobacteriaceae. The record is from RNAcentral.
GGGUUGUGAGGUUAAGCGACUAAGCGUACACGGUGGAUGCCCUGGCAGUCAGAGGCGAUGAAGGACGUGCUAAUCUGCGAUAAGCGUCGGUAAGGUGAUAUGAACCGUUAUAACCGGCGAUUUCCGAAUGGGGAAACCCAGUGUGAUUCGUCACACUAUCAUUACGUGAAUACAUAGCGUAAUGAAGCGAACCGGGGGAACUGAAACAUCUAAGUACCCCGAGGAAAAGAAAUCAACCGAGAUUCCCCCAGUAGCGGCGAGCGAACGGGGAGCAGCCCAGAGUCUGAAUCAGCUUGUGUGUUAGUGGAACGGUCUGGAAAGUCCGACGGUACAGGGUGAUAGUCCCGUACACCAAAAUGCACAGGUUGUGAACUCGAAGAGUAGGGCGGGACACGUGGUAUCCUGUCUGAAUAUGGGGGGACCAUCCUCCAAGGCUAAAUACUCCUGACUGACCGAUAGUGAACCAGUACCGUGAGGGAAAGGCGAAAAGAACCCCGGCGAGGGGAGUGAAAAAGAACCUGAAACCGUGUACGUACAAGCAGUGGGAGCCUCUUUAUGGGGUGACUGCGUACCUUUUGUAUAAUGGGUCAGCGACUUAUAUUCUGUAGCAAGGUUAACCGUAUAGGGGAGCCGAAGGGAAACCGAGUCUUAACUGGGCGUUAAGUUGCAGGGUAUAGACCCGAAACCCGGUGAUCUAGCCAUGGGCAGGUUGAAGGUUGGGUAACACUAACUGGAGGACCGAACCGACUAAUGUUGAAAAAUUAGCGGAUGACUUGUGGCUGGGGGUGAAAGGCCAAUCAAACCGGGAGAUAGCUGGUUCUCCCCGAAAGCUAUUUAGGUAGCGCCUCGUGAAUUCAUCUUCGGGGGUAGAGCACUGUUUCGGCUAGGGGGUCAUCCCGACUUACCAACCCGAUGCAAACUGCGAAUACCGAAGAAUGUUAUCACGGGAGACACACGGCGGGUGCUAACGUCCGUCGUGAAGAGGGAAACAACCCAGACCGCCAGCUAAGGUCCCAAAGUCAUGGUUAAGUGGGAAACGAUGUGGGAAGGCACAGACAGCCAGGAUGUUGGCUUAGAAGCAGCCAUCAUUUAAAGAAAGCGUAAUAGCUCACUGGUCGAGUCGGCCUGCGCGGAAGAUGUAACGGGGCUAAACCAUGCACCGAAGCUGCGGCAGCGACACUAUGUGUUGUUGGGUAGGGGAGCGUUCUGUAAGCCGUUGAAGGUGUACUGUGAGGUAUGCUGGAGGUAUCAGAAGUGCGAAUGCUGACAUAAGUAACGAUAAUGCGGGUGAAAAACCCGCACGCCGGAAGACCAAGGGUUCCUGUCCAACGUUAAUCGGGGCAGGGUGAGUCGACCCCUAAGGCGAGGCCGAAAGGCGUAGUCGAUGGGAAACAGGUUAAUAUUCCUGUACUUGGUGUUACUGCGAAGGGGGGACGGAGAAGGCUAUGUUAGCCGGGCGACGGUUGUCCCGGUUUAAGCAUGUAGGCGGAGGUUCCAGGUAAAUCCGGUACCUUUUAACGCUGAGGUGUGAUGACGAGGCACUACGGUGCUGAAGUAACAAAUGCCCUGCUUCCAGGAAAAGCCUCUAAGCAUCAGGUAACACGAAAUCGUACCCCAAACCGACACAGGUGGUCAGGUAGAGAAUACCAAGGCGCUUGAGAGAACUCGGGUGAAGGAACUAGGCAAAAUGGUGCCGUAACUUCGGGAGAAGGCACGCUGAUAUGUAGGUGAAGUGAUUUACUCAUGGAGCUGAAAUCAGUCGAAGAUACCAGCUGGCUGCAACUGUUUAUUAAAAACACAGCACUGUGCAAACACGAAAGUGGACGUAUACGGUGUGACGCCUGCCCGGUGCCGGAAGGUUAAUUGAUGGGGUUAUCCGUAAGGAGAAGCUCUUGAUCGAAGCCCCGGUAAACGGCGGCCGUAACUAUAACGGUCCUAAGGUAGCGAAAUUCCUUGUCGGGUAAGUUCCGACCUGCACGAAUGGCGUAAUGAUGGCCAGGCUGUCUCCACCCGAGACUCAGUGAAAUUGAACUCGCUGUGAAGAUGCAGUGUACCCGCGGCAAGACGGAAAGACCCCGUGAACCUUUACUAUAGCUUGACACUGAACACUGGUCCUUGAUGUGUAGGAUAGGUGGGAGGCUUUGAAGUGUGGACGCCAGUCUGCAUGGAGCCAUCCUUGAAAUACCACCCUUUAAUGGCUGGUGUUCUAACGUGGACCCGUAAUCCGGGUUGCGGACAGUGUCUGGUGGGUAGUUUGACUGGGGCGGUCUCCUCCUAAAGAGUAACGGAGGAGCACGAAGGUUAGCUAAUCCUGGUCGGACAUCAGGAGGUUAGUGCAAAGGCAUAAGCUAGCUUGACUGCGAGAGUGACGGCUCGAGCAGGUGCGAAAGCAGGUCUUAGUGAUCCGGUGGUUCUGAAUGGAAGGGCCAUCGCUCAACGGAUAAAAGGUACUCCGGGGAUAACAGGCUGAUACCGCCCAAGAGUUCAUAUCGACGGCGGUGUUUGGCACCUCGAUGUCGGCUCAUCACAUCCUGGGGCUGAAGUAGGUCCCAAGGGUAUGGCUGUUCGCCAUUUAAAGUGGUACGCGAGCUGGGUUUAGAACGUCGUGAGACAGUUCGGUCCCUAUCUGCCGUGGGCGCUGGAGAAUUGAGGGGGGCUGCUCCUAGUACGAGAGGACCGGAGUGGACGCAUCACUGGUGUUCGGGUUGUCAUGCCAAUGGCAUUGCCCGGUAGCUAAAUGCGGAAGAGAUAAGUGCUGAAAGCAUCUAAGCACGAAACUUGCCCCGAGAUGAGUUCUCCCUGAGACUUUAAGUCUCCUGAAGGAACGUUAAAGACGAUGACGUUGAUAGGUCGGGUGUGUAAGCGUAGCGAUACGUUGAGCUAACCGAUACUAAUGAACCGUGAGGCUUAACCUUACAACGCCGAAG